Molecule: ribosomal RNA, 204 nt
Filed under: uncultured bacterium
Lineage: Bacteria
Description: partial 16S ribosomal RNA
Rfam family: Bacterial small subunit ribosomal RNA
Source: RNAcentral
AUUGCAGGCUGCAACUCGCCUGUAUGAAGUCGGAAUUGCUAGUAAUCGCGGAUCAGCAUGCCGCGGUGAAUACGUUCCCGGGCCUUGUACACACCGCCCGUCACACCAUGAGAGCCGGGAACACCCGAAGUCCGUAGUCUAACCGCAAGGAGGACGCGGCCGAAGGUGGGUUUGGUAAUUGGGGUGAAGUCGUAACAAGGUAAC